GAUGAACGCUGGCGGCGUGCCUAAUACAUGCAAGUCGAGCGAACGGACGAGAAGCUUGCUUCUCUGAUGUUAGCGGCGGACGGGUGAGUAACACGUGGAUAACCUACCUAUAAGACUGGGAUAACUUCGGGAAACCGGAGCUAAUACCGGAGAAUAUUUUGAACCGCAUGGUUGAAAAGUGAAAGACGGUCUUGCUGUCACUUAUAGAUGGAUCCGCGCUGCAUUAGCUAGUUGGUAAGGUAACGGCUUAUCAAGGCAACGAUGCAUAGCCGACCUGAGAGGGUGAUAGGCCACACUGGAACUGAGACACGGUCAAGACUCCUACGGGAGGCAGCAGUAGGGAAUCUUCCGCAAUGGGCGAAAGCCUGACGGAGCAACGCCGCGUGAGUGAUGAAGGUCUUCGGAUAGUAAAACUCUGUUAUUAGUGAAGAACAUAUGUGUAAGUAACUGUGCACAUCUUGACGGUACCUAAUAAGAAAGCCACGGCUAACUACGUG
This 497-nucleotide ribosomal RNA is filed under the name uncultured bacterium. RNAcentral describes it as "partial 16S ribosomal RNA". It matches the Rfam family "Bacterial small subunit ribosomal RNA", at positions 28 to 507 of the family's 1533-position model. The record is from RNAcentral.